Molecule: microRNA precursor, 96 nt
Filed under: Tursiops truncatus (common bottlenose dolphin)
Lineage: Eukaryota; Metazoa; Chordata; Mammalia; Artiodactyla; Delphinidae
Description: miRNA (ENSTTRG00000025372.1)
Rfam family: mir-544 microRNA precursor family
Source: RNAcentral
AUCACCUAGGGACCUUGCUAAAAUGCAGAUUCUGAUUCAGCUGGUCUGGGGAGGGGCCUGGGAUUCUGCGUUUCUAACAAGCUCUCAGGUGAUGCC